RNAcentral lists this ribosomal RNA (253 nucleotides) under uncultured bacterium. RNAcentral's name for it is "partial 16S ribosomal RNA". It matches the Rfam family "Bacterial small subunit ribosomal RNA", at positions 524 to 776 of the family's 1533-position model. The record is from RNAcentral.
UACGUAGGUGGCAAGCGUUGUCCGGAUUUACUGGGCGUAAAGGGCUCGUAGGUGGCCAACUAAGUCAGACGUGAAAUCCCUCGGCUUAACCGGGGAACUGCGUCUGAUACUGGAUGGCUUGAGUUUGGGAGAGGAAUGCGGAAUUCCAGGUGUAGCGGUGAAAUGCGUAGAUAUCUGGAGGAACACCGGUGGCGAAGGCGGCAUUCUGGACCAAUACUGACGCUGAGGAGCGAAAGCCAGGGGAGCAAACGGG